GAUGAAUGCUGGCGGCGUGCCUAACACAUGCAAGUCGAGCGGCAGCGCGAGUAGUUUACUACUUGGCGGCGAGCGGCGGACGGCUGAGUAACGCGUGGGAACGUGCCCCAAAGUGAGGAAUAACUGCCCGAAAGGGUGGCUAAUGCCGCAUAUGAUCUUCGGAUUAAAGGAUUUAUCCGCUUUGGGAGCGGCCCGCGUUAGAUUAGGUAGUUGGUAGGGUAAUGGCCUACCAAGCCGACGAUCUAUAGCUGGUCUGAGAGGAUGAUCAGCCAGACUGGGACUGAGACACGGCCCAGACUCCUACGGGAGGCAGCAGUGAGGAAUCUUCCACAAUGGGCGAAAGCCUGAUGGAGCAACGCCGCGUGAAGGAUGAAGGCCCUCGGGUUGUAAACUUCUUUUAUAAGUGAAGAAUAUGACGGUAACUUAUGAAUAAGCACCGGCUAACUACGUGCCAGCCGCCGCAGUAA
This 467-nucleotide ribosomal RNA is filed under the name uncultured bacterium. RNAcentral's name for it is "partial 16S ribosomal RNA". It matches the Rfam family "Bacterial small subunit ribosomal RNA", at positions 28 to 523 of the family's 1533-position model. The record is from RNAcentral.